CUACGGGCGGCAGCAGUGAGGAAUAUUGCACAAUGGGGGGAACCCUGAUGCAGCAACGCCGCGUGGAGGAUGACGCAUUUCGGUGUGUAAACUCCUUUUAUAUGUCAAGAAAAUGACGGUAGCAUAUGAAUAAGCACCGGCUAACUCCGUGCCAGCAGCCGCGGUAAUACGGAGGGUGCAAGCGUUACUCGGAAUCACUGGGCGUAAAGGACGCGUAGGCGGGUUGGAAAGUCAGGUGUGAAAUCCUACAGCUUAACUGUAGAACUGCACUUGAAACUUCUAAUCUAGAGUAUGGGAGGGGAGAUGGAAUUAGUGGUGUAGGGGUAAAAUCCGUAGAUAUCACUAGGAAUACCUAAAGCGAAGGCGAUCUCCUGGAACAUUACUGACGCUAAGGCGUGAAAGCGUGGGGAGCAAACAGGAGUAGAUACCCCCGUAGUC
This 438-nucleotide ribosomal RNA is filed under the name uncultured bacterium. RNAcentral describes it as "partial 16S ribosomal RNA". It matches the Rfam family "Bacterial small subunit ribosomal RNA", at positions 339 to 795 of the family's 1533-position model. The record is from RNAcentral.